RNAcentral lists this ribosomal RNA (431 nucleotides) under uncultured Gammaproteobacteria bacterium. Its description in RNAcentral is "bacterial SSU rRNA". It matches the Rfam family "Bacterial small subunit ribosomal RNA", at positions 930 to 1497 of the family's 1533-position model. The record is from RNAcentral. Lineage: Bacteria; Pseudomonadati; Pseudomonadota; Gammaproteobacteria.
CGGUGGAGCAUGUGGAUUAAUUCGAAGCAACGCGAAGAACCUUACCAGGCCUUGACAUGCAGAGAACUUUCCAGAGAUGAUGUCCGCUCUAACAGGUGUGACGAGCGCAACCCUUGUCCUUAGUUACCAGCGGGAUGUCAAGUAUCAUGGCCCUUACGGCCUGGCUACAUACAUGGUCGGUACAAGGGUUGCCAAGCCGCGAGGUGGAGCUUCUCACAAAACCGAUCGUAGUCCGGAUCGCAGUGCAACUCGACUGCGUGAAGUCGGAAUCGCUAGUAAUCGGAAUCAGAAUGUCGCGGUGAAUACGUUCCCGGGCCUUGUACACACCGCCGUCACACCAUGGGAGUGGGUUGCACCAGAAGUAGCUAGUCUAACCUUCGGGAGGACGGUUACCACGUGUGAUUCAUGACUGGGGUGAAGUCGUACAAGGU